ACUAAAUAGAUACCCUGGUAGUCCACGCCGUAAACGAUGGAUGCUAGCUGUGGGGGGGUAUCGACCCCCUCCGUAGCGAAAGCUAAACGCGUUAAGCAUCCCGCCUGUGGAGUACGGCCGCAAGGCUAAAAACAUAAAGGAAUUGACGGGGGACCCGCACAAGCGGUGGAGCGUGUUCUUUAAUUCGAUGAUAAACGAAGAACCUUACCAAGGCUUGACAUCCCGAGAAUUACUCCGAAAGGAGUGAGUGCUUUAUUGAACUCGGUGACAGAUCUUGCAUGGCCGUCGUCAGCUCGUGUCGUGAGAUGUUUGGUUAAGUCCAUCAACGAGCGCAACCCUUAUGAAUAGUUGGAUUUUUCUAUUCAGACUGCCCCGGUAACGGGGAGGAAGGGGGGGUAUGAUGUCAGGUCAGUAUUAGUCUUACGUCUUGGGCUAGAAACGCGCUACAAUGGCCGGUACAACAGGCAGCUAACCCGCGAGGGGGAGCAAAUCCUAUCAAAGCCGGUCCCAGUUCGGAUUGGAGGCUGAAACUCGCCUCCAUGAAGUCGGAAUCGCUAGUAAUC
RNAcentral lists this ribosomal RNA (563 nucleotides) under uncultured bacterium. RNAcentral describes it as "bacterial SSU rRNA". It matches the Rfam family "Bacterial small subunit ribosomal RNA", at positions 772 to 1343 of the family's 1533-position model. The record is from RNAcentral.